GAAAUGCGAUACUUGGUGUGAAUUGCAGAAUCCCGUGAACCAUCGAGUCUUUGAACGCAAGUUGCGCCCGAAGCCAUUAGGCCGAGGGCACGCCUGCCUGGGUGUCACACAUCGUUUCCCCAAGGUUGGUU
RNAcentral lists this unclassified non-coding RNA (131 nucleotides) under uncultured fungus. RNAcentral describes it as "sequence contains ITS1". The stretch from base 1 to 107 matches the Rfam family "5.8S ribosomal RNA", at positions 50 to 154 of the family's 154-position model. From Rfam's summary of the family: 5.8S ribosomal RNA (5.8S rRNA) is a component of the large subunit of the eukaryotic ribosome. It is transcribed by RNA polymerase I as part of the 45S precursor that also contains 18S and 28S rRNA. Lineage: Eukaryota; Fungi. The record is from RNAcentral.